GGAGGGGUCGCAUAGUGGUCYAGUGCGCCCGCCUGCUAAGCGGGUUCCGGGGUAACUCGGUCGAGGGUUCGAAUCCCUCCCCCUCCGCCA
Molecule: transfer RNA, 90 nt
Filed under: Tepidiforma flava
Lineage: Bacteria; Bacillati; Chloroflexota; Tepidiformia; Tepidiformales; Tepidiformaceae
Description: tRNA-Ser
Source: RNAcentral